UCCAGACUCCUACGGGAGGCAGCAGUGGGGAAUAUUGCACAAUGGGGGAAACCCUGAUGCAGCGACGCCGCGUGAGUGAAGAAGUAUUUCGGUAUGUAAAGCUCUAUCAGCAGGGAAGAUAAUGACGGUACCUGACUAAGAAGCCCCGGCUAACUACGUGCCAGCAGCCGCGGUAAUACGUAGGGGGCAAGCGUUAUCCGGAUUUACUGGGUGUAAAGGGUGCGUAGGUGGCAGGGCAAGUCAGAUGUGAAAGCCCGGGGCUCAACCCCGGUACUGCAUUUGAGACUGUCCAGCUGGAGUGCAGGAGAGGUAAGCGGAAUUCCUAGUGUAGCGGUGAAAUGCGUAGAUAUUAGGAGGAACACCAGUGGCGAAGGCGGCUUACUGGACUGUAACUGACACUGAGGCACGAAAGCGUGGGGAGCAAACAGGAUUAGAUACCCGCGUAAA
This 447-nucleotide ribosomal RNA is filed under the name uncultured bacterium. RNAcentral describes it as "bacterial SSU rRNA". It matches the Rfam family "Bacterial small subunit ribosomal RNA", at positions 330 to 794 of the family's 1533-position model. The record is from RNAcentral.